GGGUUGUGAGGUUAAGCGACUAAGCGUACACGGUGGAUGCCCUGGCAGUCAGAGGCGAUGAAGGACGUGCUAAUCUGCGAUAAGCGUCGGUAAGGUGAUAUGAACCGUUAUAACCGGCGAUUUCCGAAUGGGGAAACCCAGUGUGUUUCGACACACUAUCAUUAACUGAAUCCAUAGGUUAAUGAGGCGAACCGGGGGAACUGAAACAUCUAAGUACCCCGAGGAAAAGAAAUCAACCGAGAUUCCCCCAGUAGCGGCGAGCGAACGGGGAGCAGCCCAGAGCCUGAAUCAGUGUGUGUGUUAGUGGAAGCGUCUGGAAAGGCGCGCGAUACAGGGUGACAGCCCCGUACACAAAAAUGCACAUGCUGUGAGCUCGAUGAGUAGGGCGGGACACGUGGUAUCCUGUCUGAAUAUGGGGGGACCAUCCUCCAAGGCUAAAUACUCCUGACUGACCGAUAGUGAACCAGUACCGUGAGGGAAAGGCGAAAAGAACCCCGGCGAGGGGAGUGAAAAAGAACCUGAAACCGUGUACGUACAAGCAGUGGGAGCACGCUUAGGCGUGUGACUGCGUACCUUUUGUAUAAUGGGUCAGCGACUUAUAUUCUGUAGCAAGGUUAACCGAAUAGGGGAGCCGAAGGGAAACCGAGUCUUAACUGGGCGUUAAGUUGCAGGGUAUAGACCCGAAACCCGGUGAUCUAGCCAUGGGCAGGUUGAAGGUUGGGUAACACUAACUGGAGGACCGAACCGACUAAUGUUGAAAAAUUAGCGGAUGACUUGUGGCUGGGGGUGAAAGGCCAAUCAAACCGGGAGAUAGCUGGUUCUCCCCGAAAGCUAUUUAGGUAGCGCCUCGUGAAUUCAUCUCCGGGGGUAGAGCACUGUUUCGGCAAGGGGGUCAUCCCGACUUACCAACCCGAUGCAAACUGCGAAUACCGGAGAAUGUUAUCACGGGAGACACACGGCGGGUGCUAACGUCCGUCGUGAAGAGGGAAACAACCCAGACCGCCAGCUAAGGUCCCAAAGUCAUGGUUAAGUGGGAAACGAUGUGGGAAGGCCCAGACAGCCAGGAUGUUGGCUUAGAAGCAGCCAUCAUUUAAAGAAAGCGUAAUAGCUCACUGGUCGAGUCGGCCUGCGCGGAAGAUGUAACGGGGCUAAACCAUGCACCGAAGCUGCGGCAGCGACGCUGAUGCGUUGUUGGGUAGGGGAGCGUUCUGUAAGCCUGCGAAGGUGUGCUGUGAGGCAUGCUGGAGGUAUCAGAAGUGCGAAUGCUGACAUAAGUAACGAUAAAGCGGGUGAAAAGCCCGCUCGCCGGAAGACCAAGGGUUCCUGUCCAACGUUAAUCGGGGCAGGGUGAGUCGACCCCUAAGGCGAGGCCGAAAGGCGUAGUCGAUGGGAAACAGGUUAAUAUUCCUGUACUUGGUGUUACUGCGAAGGGGGGACGGAGAAGGCUAUGUUGGCCGGGCGACGGUUGUCCCGGUUUAAGCGUGUAGGCUGGUUUUCCAGGCAAAUCCGGAAAAUCAAGGCUGAGGCGUGAUGACGAGGCACUACGGUGCUGAAGCAACAAAUGCCCUGCUUCCAGGAAAAGCCUCUAAGCAUCAGGUAACAUCAAAUCGUACCCCAAACCGACACAGGUGGUCAGGUAGAGAAUACCAAGGCGCUUGAGAGAACUCGGGUGAAGGAACUAGGCAAAAUGGUGCCGUAACUUCGGGAGAAGGCACGCUGAUAUGUAGGUGAAGUCCCUCGCGGAUGGAGCUGAAAUCAGUCGAAGAUACCAGCUGGCUGCAACUGUUUAUUAAAAACACAGCACUGUGCAAACACGAAAGUGGACGUAUACGGUGUGACGCCUGCCCGGUGCCGGAAGGUUAAUUGAUGGGGUCNNNNNNNNNNNNNNNNNNNNNNNNNNNNNNNNNNNNNNNNNNNNNNNNNNNNNNNNNNNNNNNNNNNNNNNNNNNNNNNNNNNNNNNNNNNNNNNNNNNNNNNNNNAGGCGAAGCUCUUGAUCGAAGCCCCGGUAAACGGCGGCCGUAACUAUAACGGUCCUAAGGUAGCGAAAUUCCUUGUCGGGUAAGUUCCGACCUGCACGAAUGGCGUAAUGAUGGCCAGGCUGUCUCCACCCGAGACUCAGUGAAAUUGAACUCGCUGUGAAGAUGCAGUGUACCCGCGGCAAGACGGAAAGACCCCGUGAACCUUUACUAUAGCUUGACACUGAACAUUGAGCCUUGAUGUGUAGGAUAGGUGGGAGGCUUUGAAGUGUGGACGCCAGUCUGCAUGGAGCCGACCUUGAAAUACCACCCUUUAAUGUUUGAUGUUCUAACGUGGACCCGUGAUCCGGGUUGCGGACAGUGUCUGGUGGGUAGUUUGACUGGGGCGGUCUCCUCCUAAAGAGUAACGGAGGAGCACGAAGGUUGGCUAAUCCUGGUCGGACAUCAGGAGGUUAGUGCAAUGGCAUAAGCCAGCUUGACUGCGAGCGUGACGGCGCGAGCAGGUGCGAAAGCAGGUCAUAGUGAUCCGGUGGUUCUGAAUGGAAGGGCCAUCGCUCAACGGAUAAAAGGUACUCCGGGGAUAACAGGCUGAUACCGCCCAAGAGUUCAUAUCGACGGCGGUGUUUGGCACCUCGAUGUCGGCUCAUCACAUCCUGGGGCUGAAGUAGGUCCCAAGGGUAUGGCUGUUCGCCAUUUAAAGUGGUACGCGAGCUGGGUUUAGAACGUCGUGAGACAGUUCGGUCCCUAUCUGCCGUGGGCGCUGGAGAACUGAGGGGGGCUGCUCCUAGUACGAGAGGACCGGAGUGGACGCAUCACUGGUGUUCGGGUUGUCAUGCCAAUGGCACUGCCCGGUAGCUAAAUGCGGAAGAGAUAAGUGCUGAAAGCAUCUAAGCACGAAACUUGCCCCGAGAUGAGUUCUCCCUGACUCCUUGAGAGUCCUGAAGGAACGUUGAAGACGACGACGUUGAUAGGCCGGGUGUGUAAGCGCAGCGAUGCGUUGAGCUAACCGGUACUAAUGAACCGUGAGGCUUAACCUUACAACGCCGAAGCUGUU
This 3031-nucleotide ribosomal RNA is filed under the name Escherichia coli. RNAcentral's name for it is "23S ribosomal RNA". It matches the Rfam family "Bacterial large subunit ribosomal RNA". The record is from RNAcentral. Lineage: Bacteria; Pseudomonadati; Pseudomonadota; Gammaproteobacteria; Enterobacterales; Enterobacteriaceae.